AUCAACUUUAUAAUGCAUAUGCAUGGUCCAAACUGUUCUCACGACAAAGUGGACAAAAACAAUGGAGGCUAUGGAUAUGUUUCAGCUGCUCAAGAUCCUAACAUGUAUCCUAACCAAGGCUAUGUCGGUCCUGGAUAUGCACUUGGGAACUGUAAUCAAGUCUCGCAUCCCAGGCCUCCAGUCGAUAAUUAAUAAAAGUAUUGCUGAACUAGAGG
Molecule: long non-coding RNA, 215 nt
Organism: Papaver somniferum (opium poppy)
Lineage: Eukaryota; Viridiplantae; Streptophyta; Magnoliopsida; Ranunculales; Papaveraceae
Exons: 3
Source: RefSeq, a predicted model, not a curated record